This 479-nucleotide ribosomal RNA is filed under the name uncultured bacterium. Its description in RNAcentral is "partial 16S ribosomal RNA". It matches the Rfam family "Bacterial small subunit ribosomal RNA", at positions 28 to 507 of the family's 1533-position model. The record is from RNAcentral.
GAUGAACGCUGGCGGCGUGCUUAACACAUGCAAGUCGAACGAAGCACUUAAGAUUGAUUCUUCGGAUUACGUCUUUUGUGACUUAGUGGCGGACGGGUGAGUAACGCGUGGGUAACCUGCCUCACACAGGGGGAUAACAGUUAGAAAUGACUGCUAAUACCGCAUAACCCGAUAGGAUCGCAUGAUCCAGACGGAAAAGAUUUAUCGGUGUGAGAUGGACCCGCGUCUGAUUAGCUAGUUGGUGAGGUAACGGCCCACCAAGGCGACGAUCAGUAGCCGGCCUGAGAGGGUGAACGGCAACAUUGGGACUGAGACACGGCCCAAACUCCUACGGGAGGAAGCAGUGGGGAAUAUUGCACAAUGGGGGAAACCCUGAGGCAGCGACGCCGCGUGAGUGAAGAAGUAUUUCGGUAUGUAAAGCUCUAUCAGCAGGGAAGAAAAUGACGGUACCUGACUAAGAAGCCCCGGCUAACUACGUG